CUGUCCUCUGAUGAUCUGGUCACACUGCUCACAUGCACACUGGAACGUAGCGUGAACUACUCUAAAGAAGCAUGGACGCUUUUCUUCCAGAAUUUUGCUGGACCUUUGGAUGAAGCACUGGACAAGUUUUCAAACAUGGUAUGACAAUUUGAUUGGUGCUAAAAAAAAAUUUAAAAAAAAACAUUUGUGCAUAAUUAUGCAUUGAAGUAUGUAAUCUUUGAUGUAGACCCACAGCAGCGUUCAAUCUGACCCAAAACUACUUGAUGCCAUCGGGGAGGUGAUAAUCAAGAACUUCACCACGGCGCAGCUGAUGAAUGCCACUUUCAUCACACAGUGGUUCCAGAUGAGACUCAGACCAUUUUUGUCAUCAGUUUCCAGAGACUUUUUGUCCAGCCUCAGUUCCAAAACCUUCAGCUGUGAGAGCUACCAAAAUGUGGUGGAAGCUCUCAGUAGUCAAGAAUCACUCAUGACAGAGGAACAGAAGCAGUUUGUCUUUACUUCCUUCAUCUUUCCCUUCCUGUCAAGAAGGCAGCUGCCAGACCCUGGCUGUGUUUCCAACACUUCUAGCAGCAUUAACUGGCUCGAAAAGAACCUUGGCGAUUUCUCCAAUUAUGCGUCUUUGGAAGAGCUGAAAAUUCUA
Molecule: long non-coding RNA, 640 nt
Organism: Ictalurus punctatus (channel catfish)
Lineage: Eukaryota; Metazoa; Chordata; Actinopteri; Siluriformes; Ictaluridae
Source: Ensembl